UACGGGGGGGGCAAGCGUUGUUCGGAAUUACUGGGCGUAAAGGGCUCGUAGGCGGCCAACUAAGUCAGACGUGAAAUCCCUCGGCUUAACCGGGGAACUGCGUCUGAUACUGGAUGGCUAGAGGUUGGGAGAGGGAUGCGGAAUUCCAGGUGUAGCGGUGAAAUGCGUAGAUAUCUGGAGGAACACCGGUGGCGAAGGCGGCAUCCUGGACCGACACUGACGCUGAGGCGCGAAAGCUAGGGGAGCAAACAGG
This 253-nucleotide ribosomal RNA is filed under the name uncultured bacterium. RNAcentral's name for it is "partial 16S ribosomal RNA". It matches the Rfam family "Bacterial small subunit ribosomal RNA", at positions 524 to 776 of the family's 1533-position model. The record is from RNAcentral.